UUUAGUCCUAACUCGAGUAACAUGGGGCACGUGAAACCCUGUGUGAAUCUGCGAGGACCACCUCGUAAGGCUAAAUACUCCUGGGUGACCGAUAGUGAAGUAGUACCGUGAGGGAAAGGUGAAAAGAACCCCAACCGGGGAGUGAAAAAGAACAUGAAACCGUAAGCCUACAAGCAGUGGGAGGAGAAUAGAAUCUAUGACCGCGUGUCUGUUGAAGAAUGAGCCGGCGACUUAUAGGCAGUGGCCAGGUUAAGGGCACCACCGGAGCCGCAGCGAAAGCGAGUCUAAAUAGGGCGCAUGUCACUGUUUAUGGACCCGAACCCGGGUGAUCUAUCCAUGGCCAGGAUGAAGCUUAGGUGAAACUACGUGGAGGUCCGAACCGACUGAUGUUGAAAAAUCAGCGGAUGAGCUGUGGAU
RNAcentral lists this ribosomal RNA (417 nucleotides) under uncultured Mesotaenium. Its description in RNAcentral is "bacterial LSU rRNA". It matches the Rfam family "Bacterial large subunit ribosomal RNA", at positions 396 to 816 of the family's 2925-position model. Lineage: Eukaryota; Viridiplantae; Streptophyta; Zygnematophyceae; Zygnematales. The record is from RNAcentral.